This 494-nucleotide ribosomal RNA is filed under the name uncultured bacterium. RNAcentral's name for it is "partial 16S ribosomal RNA". It matches the Rfam family "Bacterial small subunit ribosomal RNA", at positions 28 to 507 of the family's 1533-position model. The record is from RNAcentral.
GACGAACGCUGGCGGCGCGCUUAACACAUGCAAGUCGAACGGAAAAGUCUGCUUUCCCUUGUGGAUUGCGGGUACUCUAGUGGCGAACGGGCGAGUAACACGUGAGUGAUCUGCCCCCAACUUGGGUAUAAGCCUGGGACACUGGGUCUAAUUCCCGAUAGGACUGCAGUGUGCUGCCAGUGGUGGACAACGAUUUUCUAGCGGCUGGGGAUGAGCUCGCGGCCUAUCAGCUUGUUGGUGGGGUAAUGGCCUACCACGGCGGUGACGGGUAGCCGGCGUGAGGGUGUGGAGGUCGACAGUGGGAGUGACAUACGGCCCUGAGUCCUAGGGGAGGCAGCAGUGGCUAAGAGUGCACGAAGGGGGGAAGCCUGAUGAAUGGGCGCAGCGUGGGUGAUGACGCGCUUCGUGGUGUAAGCACCAUUCGGCUGCGAAGAAGCCUCUUAGGUGGAAGGAUGGUGACGGUAGUGGUAGAAGAAGCACCGGCUAACUACGUG